This 468-nucleotide ribosomal RNA is filed under the name uncultured Comamonas sp. RNAcentral describes it as "bacterial SSU rRNA". It matches the Rfam family "Bacterial small subunit ribosomal RNA", at positions 906 to 1382 of the family's 1533-position model. Lineage: Bacteria; Pseudomonadati; Pseudomonadota; Betaproteobacteria; Burkholderiales; Comamonadaceae. The record is from RNAcentral.
GGAAUUGACGGGGGCCCGCACAAGCGGUGGAGCAUGUGGUUAAUUCGAUGAUACGCGAAGAACCUUACCGGGGUUGACAUGCAGGUGAUCGCCGUUGAAAGACGGUUUCCUCUUCGGAGGCACCUGCACAGGUGCUGCAUGGCUGUCGUCAGCUCGUGUCAUGAGAUGUUGGGCUAAGUCCCGCAACGAGCGCAACCCUUGUCAUUAGUUGCUACGAAAGGGCACUCUAAUGAGACUGCCGGUGACAAACCGGAGGAAGUGGGGAUGACGUCAAGUCCUCAUGGCCCUUAUAGGUGGGGCUACACACGUCAUACAAUGGCUGGUACAAAGGGUUGCCAACCCGCGAGGGGGAGCCAAUCCCAUAAAGCCAGUCGUAGUCCGGAUCGCAGUCUGCAACUCGACUGCGUGAAGUCGGAAUCGCUAGUAAUCGUGGAUCAGCAUGUCACGGUGAAUACGUUCCCGGGUCUU